ACUCCUACGGGAGGCAGCAGUGAGGAAUAUUGGACAAUGGGUGGAAGCCUGAUCCAGCCAUCCCGCGUGCAGGAAGACGGCCCUAUGGGUUGUAAACUGCUUUUAUCUGGGGAUAAACCUACUUACGUGUAAGUAGCUGAAGGUACCAGAAGAAUAAGCACCGGCUAACUCCGUGCCAGCAGCCGCGGUAAUACGGAGGGUGCAAGCGUUAUCCGGAUUUAUUGGGUUUAAAGGGUCCGUAGGCGGACUGAUAAGUCAGUGGUGAAAUCCGACAGCUUAACUGUCGAACUGCCAUUGAUACUGUUAGUCUUGAGUAAGGUUGAAGUGGCUGGAAUAAGUAGUGUAGCGGUGAAAUGCAUAGAUAUUACUUAGAACACCAAUUGCGAAGGCAGGUCACUAAGUCUUAACUGACGCUGAUGGACGAAAGCGUGGGGAGCGAACAGGAUUAGAAACCCGGGUAGUCCCAUGAU
RNAcentral lists this ribosomal RNA (470 nucleotides) under uncultured organism. Its description in RNAcentral is "partial 16S ribosomal RNA". It matches the Rfam family "Bacterial small subunit ribosomal RNA", at positions 335 to 801 of the family's 1533-position model. The record is from RNAcentral.